Molecule: ribosomal RNA, 253 nt
Filed under: uncultured bacterium
Lineage: Bacteria
Description: partial 16S ribosomal RNA
Rfam family: Bacterial small subunit ribosomal RNA
Source: RNAcentral
UACGUAGGGGGCAAGCGUUGUCCGGAAUCAUUGGGCGUAAAGAGCGUGUAGGCGGCUCGGUAAGUCCGCUGUGAAAGUCCAGGGCUCAACCCUGGAAUGCCGGUGGAAACUGUCGAGCUAGAGUCCGGAAGAGGCGAGUGGAAUUCCUGGUGUAGCGGUGAAAUGCGCAGAGAUCGGAAAGAACACCAACGGCGAAAGCACUCUGCUGGGCCGACACUGACACUGAGAGACGAAAGCUAGGGGAGCGAAUGGG